Molecule: transfer RNA, 68 nt
Filed under: Cnemaspis limi
Lineage: Eukaryota; Metazoa; Chordata; Lepidosauria; Squamata; Gekkonidae
Description: tRNA-Arg
Source: RNAcentral
CGAUGACUAGUCUAACAAAGACCUCUAAUUUCGACUUAGAAAAUCCUGCCUUACCACAGGGUCACCAA